This 444-nucleotide ribosomal RNA is filed under the name uncultured bacterium. Its description in RNAcentral is "partial 16S ribosomal RNA". It matches the Rfam family "Bacterial small subunit ribosomal RNA", at positions 354 to 796 of the family's 1533-position model. The record is from RNAcentral.
GUAGGGAAUAUUGGGCAAUGGUCGGAAGACUGACCCAGCCAUGCCGCGUGCAGGAAGACGGCCCUCUGGGUUGUAAACUGCUUUUAUCUGGGAAGAAAAAGGCCAUGCGUGGCAAAUUGCCGGUACCAGAUGAAUAAGCACCGGCUAACUCCGUGCCAGCAGCCGCGGUAAUACGGAGGGUGCGAGCGUUGUCCGGAGUUAUUGGGUUUAAAGGGUGCGUAGGCGGCUGAUUAAGUCAGCGGUGAAAGACUUCGGCUUAACCGGAGCAGUGCCGUUGAUACUGGUUGGCUUGAGUGUCGGAGGGGUACAUGGAAUUGAUGGUGUAGCUGUGAAAUGCAUAGAUACCAUCAGGAACACCGAUAGCGAAGGCAUUGUACUGGCCGACAACUGACGCUGAUGCACGAAAGUGUGGGGAUCGAACAGGAUUAGAAACCCUUGUAGUCC